AUCAUGCAGAUGAUUUGAAUGUUUUUAAGUGCUGACUGUGAGAUGUAAAUAUUUUACACUGGGUAGCGGGAUCUUCCCUUUCUCAGUUUCUAAACUAGGUGAGCCACUCACAGGGGAGUCUUUAGACUUCACAGACACAAGAUACAGGGAGGGAACCCUGACUGCUUGAGGCCACAGCUGUAGGAAGCGCAGCUGCUGAUGUCCAUCCAGUCUUGGUGCUCUGCUGUGCUUUGCACUUGGAAGUUCAUAUGUUAUCGGGGCCGGUGAAGGGACGCUGACCUCUCAGGGUGUGUGUGCAAUGGCCGCAGGCCUGCAGGUAGGUGUCUGCAUGACACCAGCCUCGGCACGGCCUGAUCCUUGUGCUUUGUCUCACGUGUUUGUACCGCUGCCUGCCAGCUCCACCAGCUCAGGGACAGCAGCCCCGGGGCCUGGACACCGUGCUGGUGGCCGAGAUCUGGCCCUCGGCCUCCCAGGAUGGCUGCGGCUCCCUCUCCCCGGCCCCAACACAGGCCCAGCAGCAUCCUGCCUGGCACAGGUGGCUGGGAGCUAGAGGCAAACCCCGGAGAGAGGCUCAAAACUGGUUGUGGAAGAGAAGCCGUGCGCUUCACGACGUGCUGUAGAAGCCUGAACUGCCCUCUAAGAGCAUGUCGGCCACUGUAAAAACUGCAGUAAAACACUGUAAAAACUGAGGCCGAGCCCCGCUGUCAGCCGGCAGGGUGCUGCAGUGCGGCGGGCAGGGCCCGGCUCGCCCCCGGCGGCGGACAGCGGGGCUGGGAUCCGCGGCUCACACACGGCCCCAGGCGGCCGCAGGCGAGCAGCCCCGUGUGGGGCCCGGCCCGGCCAGCGGGCGUCGCUGCCGCCCGCCCGCCGCUGAGGGAGGGCCGCCGGCGGCCGGGACGUGGCGGGAGCCUUCAAGACACGGUCCUGUCGCUGCGGCUGCCCGAGGACCCGGUGUGAGCACGGGGGUUGGUUUGGAAGGACGGGCUGCUGCUGCUGCUGCAAGAAGCCUCCCGAGCCGCCGCAGCGCUGGCCGAGCGAGGGCCCUGCCUGCCAUGCCCACAGUGCCGUGUGGCGCCCGGUCACGGGGCUCAACGCCACCCGAAGGACGCUGCCCUCCCUGUUCAGGGUUCUCUGUGAUGAAGUUCAAAAAGAAUUUUUGAAAAUGUUAAAGGUUCAGGUGUACUCAAGCCUUUAAUGGGUGGUUUCUCUCUCCAUUAGGAAUGCCUUUUCACACAAAACCGGCUUGCAUCCCAUUAGCGUUGCUCUGCUCAUGUUUUCAUACCACAGAAUACCCUAACGGCUUGUAAAAUUGAAGGCAUUUGGGAAACCCUUGCUGUGCUUGAGAAGACAGAGGGGGCACAGAGCAGAAUGGAAGAGCAGGGUGCCACAUGCCAGGGCAGGGAGCGGUGGGCACGGCAGUGCUGCCCCUCACUGAUGCAGUCCCCAUCCAGAGCAUUGGUCCCACAGGCAGGGCAUGGCCACACACGGCUCCAGUCAGGCUUUGGGGAGCAGCUGCAGGGGUCGAGAGCAGAUAAACUGUAAUAAACAAUUGAGUCUGAUCUCCUUCAUACUGAAACAAAUUGAAAAAAGCUCAGCAAACCCAUAUAACACGGCCCGCUGCUGAUUUCACAGCACCACACAAGUGUGGAGAGACCACCAGCUAACACCCUCCUGAGAAACAGCUAAUCGUUGCAUGCCUCGGCCUUUCCCAACACAUCCUGGUUCAUAAGUUCAUCGGCUUCAAAGUUGCAUCUGAUCAUUAACCCUGAAAGAUCAAAGAUUACUUAAGCGUUUAAACUGCGUGUUUGGGAUGGCUGAGACGCACAAAGGUCAGGCACAAAUCUGCGACCAAAAUCCGGGACAACCUUCCCAAAGUUCAGGAGGGAGAGUAAGGUUUAGGGGUUUGCUUCAGCCGGUUGCUGUCACCCAGCACCCAGCCUGGCUCUGUGGUCUGUGGGGAACAGGGACUUAGCUGGAGAGAAAAGGGAGUCCUGCAAGCCUUUCAUUUGUGCCAGGCUUGGCUGGAAAAAUGCUCUAUCCUUGGGGAUUUUCCCUGCCAUUUUCAUUCCUGCCAUGUGGUGGGCAGGAGGCUAUCCCUGCGGGCUGAGGCCCUGUCUCCUGAGCUCCUCGCUCCCCAGUUGGGCUGCUGGCCCUUGGCCCAACAGCAGGCACAAGGACACAGUGCCAGCUCGCUGCCAUGCUGGCACUGCCUCUGGGCAUAGCACAGCUUGGGCUUCUGUUUUUCACCUGCAGAAAUUGUACCAUAUUGCCUCAGAGGGCUGGCGUGUUCUCAGCACUGAAAACCAGAUUUUGCCAAAUUCCUAGUUGUUGCUCUUGGUACUUUAUGCUGUUAUGCUAACAGAAAAAUGCAUGUUAUUCCUCUUGCAAAAACAGAUAGGAUCACUCCUUUGACAAGGGUCAUCUUGUUUUCAGCUGCCUUGCUCUCCACAGAGAUUCCUAUCUGUCUCAGAAAUGUUGCUGUCAGCCUUUUAUGAGCAUGAAUUCAGUAGCACACUCCAAAGAAGCCCACUGUCCUCUCCCAGCCAGUCACUACCUGGUCCCCAAGCAGAUGCUGAUUUUGUGCAGGCAAAAAUACUCAUCUCAGUACUUUUGCCAGUACAAUGACUUUUGCACUUGCUGUCUUAGACAUAAAACCCAGACUUCCAUCACCAGUUCGCCUAGCUGGCUGCAAGCACAGCGUAGCAAAUGCCAAUGUGUAUGCAACUGGAAAGGUGAACUCUAUGGGGGAGCAGACUACUGGAACUGUGACUAGUGGUGUGCCACUGCGUACUGGGAUGUGAAACAGUCAGGGAUGUGAAGUGACCACAUAUAUUGCAUGAUGCACUUAAUUCGACAGGGAAAACAUGAGCAGUAAAAAUGUCAUUUGGUGCCUUGCUUCAGAGAUUUCACUCUAUGAAGAGCAAACCACCUUUGCUCCUGACCUGCUUUUGGCAAAUUAUCUGGUACUAGGGAGGAGAGAAGGUUUCACAAUGAUCGUACACAGGACUUCAUCUGUUUCUUCCCCUAUAACCCUCCAUCUUGGUUGUGAUAGGAUUGUACACUACAGCUGUAGGACUUGUAACUUGCAUGUGUUUCCCGUCCCAUUAUUCUCACAAGAUGCAUCCCUAUUCCCCAGGAUGGCACUGGCACACAGAGCUGGUGGCAGACCCUCCCCUGGCGGAGGCCGAUCCCCAGCACUGUGCACAGCCUCCUGCAGAGGAGCAAGGUGUGCUUAAGCCACUUUGGCUAAGCUCAGGUCAUGCAGCUGUGCUGCAGAGGACUAGAAUGUGGCUGGCAAGUUUAAGCCAGAGGGCUCUACCCCAGCGGCCACAGGGAGGCUAGCAGGGCUCCAGGUCUGUUUCUGAGUCACUGGGGCUGUGCUCUUUGCUCCAGUGCCCCAGUGUGCCAGGCACCAGCAGCUCCAAACAGACCCAGCAUUGCAUCAGGAAGAGCUGUUCAUCCAGGAGGGAAACAUCCCUAAGCCCUUUGGUUGUGAAAUGCAGGGACACAGACUGACAAAGGGUAAGGUAAAACCUGAGCUGAGGUGCAGUGUCUGGGCACUUAACACAGGGCUGUGCUGCGCGAGGAGCUGGGUGGCAGGAGGCAGUGAACAUGCUGUGCCACCUCCCCGGGCAGAGGCAGCAAAUUAGGAUUUAUCAAAAAUCCUAAUCUGGGGGAUAUUUUUACAAGGUUGAAGUCUUGCAUUGAAAACAGCUUUGAGGUGCCUAGCAGCAGGCUAUUCCAUCCUGUUUGGUCUGUGCCCUCUUCGCUUUCACCCUGCAGCUCUGUGCUUGGUGCCAGUCCCAUCCCCACUAUGCCAUGGCAGUGGGACGUGUGAGCAGUGGUGAAGCUGUACCAUACGUGCCCUACUGUAUAAGCCCCAUAAAACACUGGCACCACUUCGUAGAUUUUUUCCCCCUUUUUCUUGUAUUUUUUUUCUUUGUUUGAAUAUGUUGCAUGGCUUUAUUUAGCUUUUGGGGGUCCAGAAGGACUUGUACUAAAGAUGACAACUGAUUUCCAAAGGCGAGGCAAAUGAUGCAUGGCUGCAGGUCAGGAUCCAGAAGGCGCCCAAGUCUCAUCAGCCUGGAGGGCUUGGCACGCCGGCAGGGUGACUCUCCUGGCAGACAAAGCUGUGUGGCUCAUUGUCUUUCAGUGCACCACAGAAACAGGCUGUUAUUGACACCAGGCUUUGGAGCACAGACCAAGCCAGAGCAGGCAGCAAUCACUUUCGAAGGUCAUGCAUACAAUCUCUUUAUGGCAAGUUUGCCUUCCGUGACUGACAAAAGCAGGAUGGAUCAAAUGUCUUCCAACAGAUCUGCAUUAAAAAUGAAGUACUGUUGCUUGGAGAACUGACAGUCCCACCAGAAAUAAUACAGGCUGCUGACAGUCCUCGCUUCCCAAUAAACAGCAUCUUCCCAUGUUGUCAAAAGAGCUUCUUCGGGAUGGGAAUAAAUAAGCAAGUUAUUUGAAUACGUUAUUUGAGUGAAAAUGUUAAUGGCAAAGAGACAGAAAUCACAUUGCUCUGUUGUAAAAAUACACUGUGGCUUAAAAAUGCAUUCCUGUUUCUCGUAUAUAUGAAAAUAUAUGUGUAUGUAUAAACACAAUAGAUAUGUGUAUCUAUGCAUAUCUCCCUAUAUUUAUACGUAAUUAUAUGCAUGUGCUGCGCCCAUGCCAGUAGCUAAAAAUACUCAGCAACCAGUCCCCCUCCUCAGAACACGUUUGGUGUGAGGCACUGGGGGCUCCUGUGCAAGGGCUGACUGCAUCCCUUUCCCAUACGUGCAGGUUGUAACUUAGCAACCGCUGCUGUAUGCUCAGAAGACAAUAUUUCAAAGCUAAUUGUUGCUGGCCUUAUUAAUGGCAACUGUCAUGGCUUCUGGUGCAUUACCGAGCCAGACAAGAGGAAAAGAAGCUUUAUCAACAGACCUCCUGAAGAAGCUGGCCGUGAAGGGAGAAGAGUGGCACAAGGGGCUCGAUGGUGUGCCAGGAGGUGGGAGGCGGACACAGUGGGAAUGGGGCAGGCUGAGGGGGUACAGCCGCAGCUCAACAGCAGCCCGCAGCCGGAGGCGAUGCCGCAAACCAAGAGCUGAAGGAAGUCAGCAGGGUUUGUUCCGGUAUGAUACAAAUAUAUGCCACAGAUACGCACACACAUCCCUUUGAGUAUGUGGGCAUGAAGUAGAGUGCUAACUUUCGACGUGCCCUCGAGCUGUCUUUGCCUAGAGGAUGAACACGCUUGCACCUGAAGGACACCGUCUGCGGAGGUUUCCCCCCUUCUCAGCGGCUGCCACAGCCACCCUGCGAGAGCAGCCGGUCAGCCUCAGUGCCACCCUGCAGCUGCAGCGACUAAUUAACUGAGCCAUUUCACAGAACAGCUUAUAUUUCUAUUUGUUCCUCCUCUCGGAGGGCCUAUGGCUGCUGCUGCACCAGCCCAGCACAGGGGGCUCCCGGCACUGCUCGUGCUGCUGGGCUCUGAGCGGGUGCAAGCAUUGGCUGCGGCGCCAGUGCAGGGUUAUAUAAAGCAGAAGGGGUUUAUAUAAGCCUAUUUUAUCUGCAAAUCAUUUAUAUUUAGAACACCUAUUUCUACUGGAAACCCUAAAAGCGUGUUACAUAAGAGCCUGAUAAAUCCUUUGGCUUAAGGUUUCGGCAGGGGGAGGGGGUGCUCAGCGCCUGGUGCGUUCAGGAUCCGUUUUGUAACCAGAGUCUCAAUGUGCCAUUUACAGCUGGUCUUGAAAUCCUUUCUGCUCUCACUCCACAAUACCUUGACAAUAGCAGAACACUUCACUGCAUAGAAAUUUCCCUCUCCUUCAGUGCUGCUCUCAUUUGGAGAUUUUCUCUGGGUGUUUUGCCAGCACGGCCGAGAAGGCAGUUCAGUACUGCCAGGCAAGUGUCCCGGUGCACGUGGCACUGCUUGCUGCCUUUGGGAAUGUCAUGGGCAUUGCCCAGCGGUAGCAGUGCUAUCCUCAGAUCUGCAGAAGGCACUGGCUGCAGCCUUCAUUUAGCAAUACAAAAAGAAGGGGCUGACUUACCUUGCCGUUGGUAUGAGAAUAUUUUCUAAUGAACUAACUAUUCCUCAAACCAUCUCUUUGUGGGGAAGGGAGGAAAGAUUAUGGCAGUGGUCAUAAAAUACACAUGUAAGUGCAGAGCGGGCAGCUGCACUGCUUUGGCUUUACGUCCACGUGGCUGCAGAAGCUGGCCGUACCUGGGACUGUGCUGUUGGGCAAAGCCAUGAGUUCUGCGAGGGUAAAUGGCACAAGGAGCCUGGAUCACCCAGCCCCAGGCAGGGGAAGGACCAUCCUGCAUUUUGUGCUGUCUCCUUUCCAUCUUCCUCCCAGGUGUUGGAGCCCUGGGUCCUGUGAGCAGCAGGCAGUGGCCGUGGCUCCCCAGCUGUGUGGCACCAUCUCCCACGGGACGUGUGACACCCCCCGCCCACACCAUCGCGGAUCAAGUGUCUUAAGCAAAUUCUUGUCAUAGUUUGUUUGAGCCAGACACUGUAAAUUGGAUUAGUGUGGUGCCAGGAGAGAUUUCUAGAGUGAAAUAUUUAAAACUAGCACUAAUGGGAACCAGUCUAUGGGCUGCCACUGGACAGUCUCUGCCCUGCCAGUGAGUGCAGGGGCUCCUGCAGCUGCUGCCGCUGGUGCCUGUGGGCUCGGGUAUUGUGGAGCAGGCACCCAGGAGAGCCUCUGCAAUUGGAAAGUGGGCUGCAAGGAGCAAAAAUUCACAUUGGACCCUGCAACAGUGAUCUGGAGGGAAGAAAAAAAAAUGCCUUGGGGCUGAUUUGCAGUGGGAGCUGCAGGUGGGGUGUGCAUCUAACUGCCUGUGUGCCCAGCAGUCAGGCCUCCAGCUCCAGCCAGUUAUUCCAUUGCAAGCAGUCCGUCACCUUCCAUUAUUUCUCACCUGUCGUAAAAGUGAUGUGGCUGGAACAGAUGAAACACAAAAUUGUCAGUAUUUGGACAAUUUUAUGGAUGUGGAGCACAAAUCUGUCUCAUGGUUUGAGCACAGAAGAUGAGAAAUAGAGCCUGUGGAAAAUACUAGGGACACUGGCAUCCUAAGGACUUUAACUAUCCAAAAAGCUGAUGAGAAAAGCAACAACUAUUCAAUGGGAAACCAAGCCCACAGCGUAUUCACUGCAGGACCUGCAUGGUGCUGGACAGAGCCAGAAAGGUGCUGCGUUUAUUCCUCUGCUGAAGGCUACAGAGCUCCUGGCCACCACAGGUGCUGGUCCAGCCAGCGUGCCAGGGCUCUGGGAGGAGAGGCGGUGGCUGCAGAGGAACUGCUCCGUGCCGGCCACAGCCGAGGGGGUUAAUCCGACCGUGUGGGUCUCACCAAAGCACUCUUCUGUGCCCAUCUGACUCUGCACCAGCACUAGCAAUUCACAGAUUCAAUUAGACCAUGGGAGGUAAAUAAGUGGAUAACAGCUUUGACUCAUGGAAAAUAGCAUUUCUUUUACCUUCAAGAACAAACCAGUUUGGUGUAGCCUCAGAGGUUUCAGUAUGCACUUUGCAAUGGCUCAAUGAACUCUUAAACUAUGGGGUUAAGGCUGAUCUCACGCUUGCUUCUGAGCACAGUUUAUGCAUGCUGGAGACCGGGCCUGCUGCUGCAAGCAGCACAGAGCUCCUGCUUUCCUCUCGUGAGGCUGCCAUGCGCUGCCACAGGGAGCAGAGCACCGCUCGUGGGGCCUGUCCUGGCGAGGGGCCUGCCAGGGGCUCGGCCGGCUGCCCGCGUGGGGCCGCGGGAGCGUCACCGCCACAGCCCGAGCUGCUGCUGACAGCAGGAGCUUCCCCACAGCCCUGCCAUAAAUCCAUGCUGCUGGCAGCCAUUUGAAGGCAGAGACGGUUAGCAAGAGAGAAACGUGGCUGUGUUUUUAUUUUGUCUUACGCUCAAAGGAAGCUGUGCAUCACAGCUCUGAAAGCAGCCCGAGACCAGCUCAGAAGAAACACAGCUCCCCGGUGGCACCCAAGCGUGAAAUCGAGCGUCAUCUUGCUACUGGGCCGUGCCUUUGAGGUUGUAUCAGCUAAAUAAAUGCAACGCCAGGCUGGUGUGUGGUAAACGAUAGUUUACAACCGUCAUCUGAUGAAAAAGAGAGAAGGUGAGGGAGCACAUUUGAGUAAAUGGCCACAGUAAGUCACGUUCUCUGGCCUACCAGCCGCUGCCAGCAGAGCUGCAGGGGUCUGGCACGGGCCUGGAAAGGUCUGAGGAGCGGCAUUUCCCCCCGACCAGCAGGGGUUCGAAAGCCUCCCUGCUCCCCAGGCAGGCCGGCAGCGCUGACUCGCCUCCCUGUGCCCAGCUUUCCAACAUCCUGUUUGCACCGUGGUUAUUUUAACCUCCCUGUUUCUUUCCAUAUUUUUCCUCCUGCCCACGCCAAUGCACGCUGCGAUUUCUGGCAGGCAGGCUAGAAAGCUCCCCGCUAGCAUCUCCCGCGAUGAGCUGAUCUGGUGGCACCACCCUGGCCUGCUGGACAUCCACAGCCCCAGCCGAGCGGAGACUCCAGGCCUGCCCCAUGGCCUCACUCAGCCCAGGGCUACCUCCUUGGCCCAGGGCUACCCCCUUGGCACUUGGCCAUCUCCUCAGCCCGCCCAGCUGAGCGUGGAGCGAGGCAGAGCGCCUCAGGGCAGCUCGGGGCUCUGCUGCUGUGUGCGCAGCCCCCAGCUGAGGGGUGGGAGGGAAGGAGGCACUCGGCAGGCAGAGGCCGCACAACAGAGGAGCAGUUCCAGCCCAGGCGAAACAAGGCUCGUAAGUGUGCAGUCUGCAUAAAACAAGAUCAAAUGGAGAAUCGCGGGAAAUCAACGCAAUACCAUGCGGAUGGGCAUGGCAGAUGAGUGCAGGACAGGAACCAUCUUCUGCCCACGGGGACGCUCCCCAAAACCCUGCACUUUGUGACUCUUCUCCCACCACAGGACUCUUGCAGCUUGCCUACGAAGAACCCAACUCCAUGCUUGGAUUAUCUUUUUUUUUCUAGCAAUAGAUUUAACUCUACAUGAUCCUUGUAAAGCACUUCACUUUCUUUAAUCUUCCCCACAUGAGGGAUUACUUCUGCUUAAUAAACAUGAUGGCCUGGCUGUACCCUCCAACCACCAGGGCACGCGCCCUCCUAGAGCAGGGCUUCACCUGCAGCAGCCAGCAGCAUCUGUCCCAUGCUGCUCCCACAGCACAGCCAGAGCUCAGAGGCAGUCCGCGCUGGACUUAGCCUCAACACCUGACCCUCUGCUGCUUGUGUAAAAUGCUUCCAUUCGACCACAAUGAGUUUCUUAAGUACUGUUGAGUUUGUUGGUUUUUUUUGAAAUACACUUCUGCACAGGAUGUGUUUUUAGCCUGAAUUUCAUUUCCAGUUUCUAAGUACUUUCCUCCCACUCCUUUCAUCCAAUCUCAGAAAAGCUGACUACCACACCAAUUCAAAGCAGUCCCUCCCCUAGGAGAAAGAGCAGAUGUGUUUCCUCCUCCCUCCAGUCCCACGCACACGAAGCAAAGUGACUACACCAACGCUCACAUAACGUGCCCCUUGAAGCACUGUGCCCCAGCUCCCAAGGUGACUGGUUUCUGCCAUGCUCCCUGUUUUAACAGUUGUAGCCAUACUACCUGCCAGAGGAGCAGGGAUGAGAAAAAAAAAAAAAAAAAAAAAAAUGAAGAAUUAAGACACUGUCAUGGAAAAUGUUACAGGAGUUUGCCAGAAGACACAGCUUUAUUGUAUGGCUCAUUAGCUACCUCAGGAAUGGCUCUGAUGGGAGGAACUGGAAAAGAAAGUAAUACUGCUGUUCUAAGGCAUGCUGCAACAGACUCAGUCUGCACAUUUCUGAACAUCCCCUUGCAUCCCACUCCUGAGAUCUCUAUGAAAACGCUCCAGCGGGUUUCUUGGCUGAGGGACACGUAGGAUUACCUUCACUCUAGCUUGCCAGUGACAUGAGGGUGCUUGCAUGCCUGUGCAGCAGUUUUUCCACUUUAAUAUUCUGCCUGAGCAGUUGAUAUAACACCACUGCUCACUUAUAGUCUGGAAUUCAAUUGUCUUUUGAACAGAUAUGGUUAUUGGCACUGUGGUACACACAUACUUUCAGCCAUACCACUACACGUGAUUCUAAGUACAGGCUGUGCACACUGAACAGAAGCACACUCGCAGUCUCCUGGCUGCUCUCUGCAUCCCCAGCAGCAGCACUUCUCACACAGAAUAUGAGCUCAGGCUUCCUUGAGCUCCUUGUCCCCUGUAUGAGGCAAGCAGGCCUGCCUUUGUAGCACAGCUGGCUGUUUUUACAGUGGCAGCUGUUUGUUUUUCACUGUACAAAGCAUCAAAGGACAACAGUCAUUUUUGCUGGCCAUGUUUUUAUUUGUCUUUCGUUUUAAACAGGGGAGCCAAUGAUACAUCCAGUAUUUCAAAAAAUCAGAAGGUAAAACAAAUUUUCAGAAGACCGAGAUGCUACAUGCUAUAUUUAACCUAAUUUUAUUCAUGCUUGCUUUUGAGGGGCAGCGGGAAGGGGGCAGGAAUCAUUCAGUAAAAACAUACAGUAAAAACAAAAUGUCUCACCAUAUAGAACUUUAACCUACAGUAAUGUUGUACCUUAAUUAUUUCCAUGCACACAACUAACAUUACAAUUUUUUUUUUUAAAU
Non-coding RNA from Anas platyrhynchos (mallard), 10590 nucleotides. The record is from RefSeq and is a predicted model, not a curated record. Lineage: Eukaryota; Metazoa; Chordata; Aves; Anseriformes; Anatidae.